AAUAGUUUUAUGCCACAUCAGUACUCUUAUCCUGAAUUUCAGGAUUUUAUCCUGAAAAAAAUCAAAUCCAAAUUAAAAUACUAAAAUUCAGGAUAAAAUCCUGAAAUUUAGGAUAAGAAUACUAAUGUGGCAUAAAACUAUU
This 142-nucleotide microRNA precursor is filed under the name Gossypium arboreum. Its description in RNAcentral is "MIR7504 microRNA precursor family". It matches the Rfam family "MIR7504 microRNA precursor family". The record is from Rfam by way of RNAcentral. Lineage: Eukaryota; Viridiplantae; Streptophyta; Magnoliopsida; Malvales; Malvaceae.